RNAcentral lists this ribosomal RNA (450 nucleotides) under uncultured bacterium. Its description in RNAcentral is "partial 16S ribosomal RNA". It matches the Rfam family "Bacterial small subunit ribosomal RNA", at positions 354 to 796 of the family's 1533-position model. The record is from RNAcentral.
GUGGGGAAUUUUGGACAAUGGGCGCAAGCCUGAUCCAGCCAUUCCGCGUGCAGGAUGAAGGCCUUCGGGUUGUAAACUGCUUUUGUACGGAACGAAAAGCCUCUGGUUAAUACCCGGGGGUCAUGACGGUACCGUAAGAAUAAGCACCGGCUAACUACGUGCCAGCAGCCGCGGUAAUACGUAGGGUGCGAGCGUUAAUCGGAAUUACUGGGCGUAAAGCGUGCGCAGGCGGUGAUGUAAGACAGUUGUGAAAUCCCCGGGCUCAACCUGGGAACUGCAUCUGUGACUGCAUUGCUGGAGUGCGGCAGAGGGGGAUGGAAUUCCGCGUGUAGCAGUGAAAUGCGUAGAUAUGCGGAGGAACACCGAUGGCGAAGGCAAUCCCCUGGGCCUGCACUGACGCUCAUGCACGAAAGCGUGGGGAGCAAACAGGGUUAGAUACCCGUGUAGUCC